Molecule: transfer RNA, 73 nt
Filed under: Streptococcus pneumoniae
Lineage: Bacteria; Bacillati; Bacillota; Bacilli; Lactobacillales; Streptococcaceae
Description: tRNA-Gly(tcc)
Rfam family: tRNA
About the family: Transfer RNA (tRNA) molecules are approximately 80 nucleotides in length. Their secondary structure includes four short double-helical elements and three loops (D, anti-codon, and T loops). Further hydrogen bonds mediate the characteristic L-shaped molecular structure. tRNAs have two regions of fundamental functional importance: the anti-codon, which is responsible for specific mRNA codon recognition, and the 3' end, to which the tRNAs corresponding amino acid is attached (by aminoacyl-tRNA synthetases). tRNAs cope with the degeneracy of the genetic code in two manners: having more than one tRNA (with a specific anti-codon) for a particular amino acid; and 'wobble' base-pairing, i.e. permitting non-standard base-pairing at the 3rd anti-codon position.
Source: RNAcentral
AGCGGGUGUAGUUUAGUGGUAAAACUACAGCAUUCCAAGCUGUUGUCGCGAGUUCGAUUCUCGUCACCCGCUU